GGUCUUUGAGCAUAAACUUUGAAGAUGGAGUGAGGUUGAGCCAAGUCAUAGCCAGAUCAUUAUCAACUUGUACUUGUAUUCAUGGUAAUGUGGUCGAUUGAAGAAAAUGAUGAACUGAACUUUUUAAAUAGGUACCUAUAACCUAUCCAAAGAGAAGAACGUGCUGUCAAGCUGGAUUUCUCAAUGUAAGCAGUCUGUUCCAAGCACUGUUCUACUGAAAAUGUUCAUCCAACCAGCCAACCAGUUCAUCCAACCAGCAGCCUAUCCACUGAUGCUGUGGCUGAUGGCGGAGGCAAAGCACCAACUGUCCUUGUUGCCUGGUGUGUGCACAAGUAGAUGAGUGCCGUUCAUCGCCGCCGUCUUCCUGGACCUUCGCUCAUCGCCGUCGUCUGUCGGGGCCUGCAAUUCGGUCGUCGCCGUCUGCCGAGGCCAGCCAGCUCCAGAUUGAUUCCUGCCUAUCGCCGCCGUUUGCGGGGACCUGCAAUGUCGCUGCCGUCGUCAGCCAGAGAAGCUGGUCACAGUCAUCGAAGAGCAGUGAUCUCCGCCGUUCGAAGAGCUGUGUAAUAUAUAUCAUGUGUUGUCGCCUGUCAGUCCCCAGAGGAGUUCUCAUGUGCCGUCCGUCGACUGGCGUGUCCCAUGAUAUGACAUCUGAGGGUCACCCACCGGCCACCGUUUACCGGCGACUCUGAGGGCCAUCAGCCCCGAGUCCCUAGAUAUCCUCAGCUCGCACCCGGCAGCAGUCUCUGUCGCAUCUGGAGUGUAGUCUAUUCUAAUAUGCUCAGAUGCAUUGCGCUGCUUCUUGUGUAAAUCUGCUGGGAAACUUGGAAAGUGCUAACAACGAUAUAUGUGCGAAGUGGAAGCUGUGUAAAGUCGUCUGCAUAUUAAUUUCAACGGUGGUUAAUGCGAAGUGAUAUUGGUCGAAA
RNAcentral lists this long non-coding RNA (923 nucleotides) under Amphibalanus amphitrite. Its description in RNAcentral is "uncharacterized LOC122384373". The record is from RNAcentral. Lineage: Eukaryota; Metazoa; Arthropoda; Thecostraca; Balanomorpha; Balanidae.